CUUCAACGAGCCCAGCCACAACGGCACCUCCCGGCCCUGCCCGUACGUGGCGAGCACCGCCUGCGCCUC
Molecule: antisense RNA, 69 nt
Filed under: Streptomyces lincolnensis
Lineage: Bacteria; Bacillati; Actinomycetota; Actinomycetes; Kitasatosporales; Streptomycetaceae
Description: ASpks TB sRNA
Rfam family: ASpks TB sRNA
Source: Rfam by way of RNAcentral